GCCUGUGUGGUGCAGUGGUUUGAGCGCUGGACUAUAACUUUGGAGAUCAGGGUUCAAAUCCAGGCUCUGCCA
Molecule: non-coding RNA, 72 nt
Organism: Phrynosoma platyrhinos (Desert horned lizard)
Lineage: Eukaryota; Metazoa; Chordata; Lepidosauria; Squamata; Phrynosomatidae
Source: the annotation of a GenBank genome assembly